Molecule: ribosomal RNA, 274 nt
Filed under: uncultured bacterium
Lineage: Bacteria
Description: partial 16S ribosomal RNA
Rfam family: Bacterial small subunit ribosomal RNA
Source: RNAcentral
AUACGUAGGGUGCAAGCGUUGUUCGGAAUCACUGGGCGUAAAGGGCGUGUAGGUGGAAAGAUUAGAUAGAGGUGAAAUCCCCGGGCUCAACCCGGGAAGUGCUUCUAGAACUGUUUUUCUAGAGAAGGUGAGAGGUUAACAGAAUUCCUGGUGUAGAGGUGAAAUUCGUAGAUAUCAGGAGGAAUACCGGAGGCGAAAGCGGUUAACUGGCACCAUUCUGACACUGAGGCGCGAAAGCGUGGGGAGCAAACAGGAUUAGAAACCCGAGUAGUCC